AGGAUAAACGCUGGCGGCGUGCCUAAUACAUGCAAGUCGAGCGGCAGCGCGGUCUUCGGACUGGCGGCGAGCGGCGGACGGCUGAGUAACACGUAGGAACGUACCCCAAAGUGAGGCAUAAGCACCAGAAAUGGUGUCUAAUACCGCAUGUGCUCUAAGGAGUAAAGCUUCGGCGCUUUGGGAACGGCCUGCGCAUGAUUAGCUUGUUGGUGAGGUAAAAGCUCACCAAGGCGACGAUCAUUAGCUGGUCUGAGAGGAUGACCAGCCAGACUGGGACUGAGAACGGCCCAGACUCCUACGGGAGGCAGCAGUAGGGAAUUUUCCACAAUGGGCGAAAGCCUGAUGGAGCAACGCCGCGUGCAGGAUGAAUGCCUUCGGGUUGUAAACUGCUUUUAUAUGUGACGAAUAUGACGGUAGCAUAUGAAUAAGGAUCGGCUAACUCCGUGCCAGCAGCCGCGGUAA
RNAcentral lists this ribosomal RNA (462 nucleotides) under uncultured bacterium. RNAcentral describes it as "SSU rRNA". It matches the Rfam family "Bacterial small subunit ribosomal RNA", at positions 26 to 523 of the family's 1533-position model. The record is from RNAcentral.